GCUCAAUAAUCCGCCGCACAGCCUCAUCCGGUGGCACAAUCAUGGACCACACCUCAUGGCAAUUGGUCUCCCAGCCCGCUCGCAGCAGCACCGCUGCCUCCAGGACCACCACACGCGGCACGUCCGCCUGGGAACGCAGUGCAUCCAGCCGCCUGUUAACCUCCGCAAUAAGUUCCGGCCAGACAAUGCCGUUGAGUGCUUGCAACUGCUUGGGAUCGGCAAACACCAAGGGUCCCAGCUUGGACCGAUCGAUGCGACCAUCGUCUGAAACAAUACCCUGUCCGAAGUGCUGCACAAUUCGGGUGUAGCACAACUGACCAGGUUCGUAAACAUCGUGCGCCACCUUAUCGCAGUCGAUCACGUGGGCGCCCAUGUUGGCCAAUCUCUCGCCCAUCUUGCUCUUGCCAGAUGCGAUGCCGCCAGUGAGUCCAAUAAUGUAAGGGCGCGGCGGGAGCUGUGGUCGUGGCUCCGGCCUUCUCCAGCGGGUUCCCAGCAGAUCGAUGCGUGUGUUACUCGAGCUGACCUUGGUCUCGUGGAUGCCAUCAUGCACGUUGCUUUCAACAAUGUCAAUCACAAAGAUCUCCAGCUCGCGCAGUUGCUUAGCGGAGCGUACCUCGUUGACCUUCUGCCCUCCUCGCAACGUCUCCGCACUGACCACAAUCAUGUCCAGGUCAGGAUCCACUUGCGUGGGACCAAAGGGAUCAUCGAUGGGCACAAUUUCGUACUGCAGCGUAUCAUCUAUGUCCACCAGGAACUCCCUUAGCCGGGCGAUGCGCUCUUCCACGGGCAAAAUCAAGUCCGGCAGCGUCUUUCCUGCAGACAGCGAUAAGAAUGGUCGUUAAGAUAAGCGUUUUAUUUUGCCAAUUCAUGCCCGUCUUACCCUUCGUCAUGGCGGAGGUGGUUACGCCCACAACCAAACGCUUGCAGGUGCGCAGUACAGCCUGGGUGAGGAAUAUCUUGUGUCCCAGAUGGAUGCGAUCGAAUGUUCCGCCCAGGACAACCGAGGGAUACACCUUAGGCGGCUGGGUGUCAUCCUGCUGGGCACUUAAAUCCGAGAUGACCGAGUCAUCCAGGAAGAUUGUUGGCUUGCUGAUGUUAAGAUCCGCGCGAAGCCUGUCGCACAGCUCCGGAUGAUGUGCAUCCGAGAAGAUUAGGUCGACGGGCUGGCGCAACUUCAGGGAUCCAUUGGCACCUGGUCGUAGGGGAGAGACAAGGACGCGAAGGUCCAACUGCUUGCCCACAUAGCUGCUGCUGUUGGCGUACAGCUGCGAGAUUAGACGACCCCAAACCGGAGGCGGUGGAACUGGUGACGUCGUGGACGUUGACCCCGCCACAUUUAGGUGGAUGUACAGUGAAUUCACGUACUUCUCGAUGGCUCGCAGGG
Drosophila melanogaster (fruit fly) is the source of this 1384-nucleotide non-coding RNA. The record is from Ensembl. NCBI's taxonomy places the organism in Eukaryota, Metazoa, Arthropoda, Insecta, Diptera, Drosophilidae.